Molecule: non-coding RNA, 101 nt
Filed under: Thermoanaerobacterium saccharolyticum
Lineage: Bacteria; Bacillati; Bacillota; Clostridia; Thermoanaerobacterales; Thermoanaerobacteraceae
Description: SAM-I sequence
Rfam family: SAM riboswitch aptamer (S box leader)
About the family: The SAM riboswitch is found upstream of a number of genes which code for proteins involved in methionine or cysteine biosynthesis in Gram-positive bacteria. The SAM riboswitch acts at the level of transcription termination control.
Source: RNAcentral
CUCUUAUCCAGAGAGGUGGAGGGACUGGCCCGAUGAAACCCGGCAACCGGCACGUAUGUGCAAUGGUGCCAAUUCCUGCAGCGAUUGCUGAGAGAUGAGAG